AGUGAACGCUGGCGGUAGGCCUAACACAUGCAAGUCGAACGGCAGCACAGUAAGAGCUUGCUCUUACGGGUGGCGAGUGGCGGACGGGUGAGGAAUACAUCGGAAUCUACUUUUUCGUGGGGGAUAACGUAGGGAAACUUACGCUAAUACCGCAUACGACCUACGGGUGAAAGCAGGGGAUCUUCGGACCUUGCGCGAUUGAAUGAGCCGAUGUCGGAUUAGCUAGUUGGCGGGGUAAAGGCCCACCAAGGCGACGAUCCGUAGCUGGUCUGAGAGGAUGAUCAGCCACACUGGAACUGAGACACGGUCCAGACUCCUACGGGAGGCAGCAGUGGGGAAUAUUGGACAAUGGGCGCAAGCCUGAUCCAGCCAUACCACGUGGGUGAAGAGGGCCUUCGGGUUGUAAAGCCCUUUUGUUGGGAAAGAAAAGCAGCAGGUUAAUACCCCGCUGUUCUGACGGUACCCAAAGAAUAAGCACCGGCUAACUUCGU
This 491-nucleotide ribosomal RNA is filed under the name uncultured bacterium. RNAcentral describes it as "partial 16S ribosomal RNA". It matches the Rfam family "Bacterial small subunit ribosomal RNA", at positions 29 to 506 of the family's 1533-position model. The record is from RNAcentral.